AAGUGUAGCAUUUCUCAGUAGUGACUUGCUUUCCUUCUAGAACUCCCGUGUAUGUAUGUUUGUAUGUAUGUUGGAACAUUGUUAUUUUUUUACUUCUUUAAUCCGAUCCAUCUUAAAUACUCAAUAUAUGCACAUGACAUGUGUAAAUUAGGUAGCUACAGAACACGCUAGGGAGAUAACAACCUCCCAGUGCUCAUGUCAAAUAAGACUGGAGUAGGGAGGAGGAAAACAUUUUCCUGAAAUAGGGACACACUCCAGGUUUGGUUUCUGAGUUACUUCACACACACACACACACAAACAUAUAUAUAGAUAUAUAUACACACACACAAUGCCAUGAUGAAAAAAUGUGCACUAUGUGGAUACAUGUCACUUUAAGGGGGAAAACAAACCAAGGAGAGAAGGGAAACACAGACCUGAAUUAAUAUGCUUUAGCAUCUGUUUAACGAUCCUGUCGCAACAUGGGGUGGAGACGGAUGGUGGUUAAAAUUAAAUGGCCCUGCUGAGUGUCAAAUGUAAUACUUAGACCAGCUUUGCCCAAUGUGGCAACCUCCACUUGUUUGCGAUCACGAGUCCCAUCAACUGAUGGGAGUUGGUCCAAACCAUCUAGGGGGCACCAGGUGGAGAAAGCUUGAUGUAGACAAUGCUGCUCUCCAACCUGGGAAGAAAAGAAGGUUGGACUCUCUUGAUUAUGGAAUGUGCUGGGAAGCACUUUGUAAGUUCUUUCAUUAGAACAGGGCUGAGAUACCUGUGUUCCUGGACUAAAGCUCCCAUCAGCCAUAGCCAGCUGUCAAGGAUGAAGGAAGUUGUAGCCUAGCAAGUGCUGGAGAGCCUCGGCUUCCCCAUUGCUGCUUUAAAAUGUUACAAAGCUUCAGUUUAAAAGUGUAGAAAAUGAGGACAAGUAUGGCCCAGUCCCAUCUAUGCUUACUGGGCCGUAAGCAUGACUUGGUUCUGUAGGUUUCUUCCCAAGUAAGCAUGUAUAAAAUGUUGCUUUAGAAGAAUGCCUAUUAUUCUAGGGCAGUGGGGUUCUCAAAUCGUCCCCACCACGGACCACUUGGAAAUUGUUGAGGGUUGUAAUGAUUUUUCUGCUUGUUGUAGCAAUUGCAGUGGGCUGUGCUCAGCGCUGCGUGAUUGUUAACUAUAUAUAUUUUUAUUCCUUUUAUUUCUCAUGAUGUUGGAUUGUGUUGCAGUCUGCAUUCCACAGACUGCAACUUGCAAUGCAAUUAAAAUAUGAAAUAAAAGAAGCAAUAAAACAGCAACAGGAAUAUUUAAUGGAGGCAAGCCAUGGACCACUGGUGGUCUAUGGACCUUAGUUUGAGAACUUCUUUCCUCAGGAAACCUGCUUAUCAAGGAGAAAAUUGGACACUUUUCUCCCACUCCAAAUGCCACCUGGCAAUUCCCAUAUUUCCAAGGCAGUGACUGUCAAGGCAUUUAUUCUGAAAUCACCCCAACCCCACAAUAUGCACAUGCCACCUACAAUAGCUUUCUCCAACCUGAUGCUCUCCAGAUACUUGAGACUACAAUUCCCAUCAGCCCCAGCCAGCAUGGCUGAUGGUCAGUGACGAUGCAAUUGAGUAGCAUCUGGGAAAGCUGGUCUGCAAUUCAAUUAAACUGUCAUACCUGGCCGUGUGCUUAGGGGUAAGCAGGUGGGGCACUGCAAGUCAAAGCACAUUUGAACGCUGGAAGCAUUUCAAAAGCAGGUUAUGAUGUCGCUUGAGAGCAGAGGAGACCUGUUGCUUGAAAACAUCACCCCUCCAUUGAGAUCCUUGCUUCUUGUACUGAAGCUGAUUUCACAUUUUAAAUAAGAGUCCCUUUCGGCCAAAAGCAUAGGAGGUGAUGGUUCAUGUGCUCUUUCUGAAACAUGGGUUGGAACCCUCAGGUGCUGGUAGUCAGAGUUGCAUCCAUCACUGUUCAGAAUGGUCUCUUCUUUGGGAGGAGAAAAAAGUGGACCAACCACUGCUGGUCACUGCCCCACAUCUACCCACCGCCCUCAACUGUUGAGGUUUCCUUCUUGAAAUAAGCCGUUUCUCAUUUGUUUCCACCCUUGGCUGGUCUUGCUUGCCUAGGCAAAAGCAGCAGGUAACAGACAUGCAGGCAUCUUCUCCCAAGUGGGUUGGCCAACUAGAGUUGACCAACUCUAAUGGAAACUUGGCCUUCUGUAGAUUGUAGCAAACUACACCCAUGGCUUCAUAAGAAAACCAGGCCUCCAGAAGGCAACUCUGUGCUGCUAUUUAUUUAACAUUUAUUAUAUAUAUAUAUGCGGCUGAUAUAAGGAAAUUGCACUAUGCGAAACUGUAGAUUUUGAUAUGGAACCUUACUGCAGUUUUAAAUACGAGUGUUUACAGCUUUUUUAAAAUAUAUAUAUAUAUAUAUAUAGAAAAAUGGGUAUCCAGAUGAGCUUUUAAAAGUGUGAUUCUUAGUCUGCAUUUUGCACUGGAAACGCCAGCCUGAUUUUUAAAUAGCAGACUGGCCCAUGUGGAUGUUUGGUGCUCUAGUACAAAAAACCAUUCAAUGUGGACAGCCAAACCUAAUGUGGGGAUGGGGAAGAUAUCAAAUAUGGUGCAGGAGUUUUGGGUUGUGCUUAUGACUGUUGGCCAUGUUUCCUAAAAUCUCCCAUAUGGAUGAACAGGUAGUCCUUCCAUAAGGGUUGUGUUUAGAUGCUGUGGGUGGUGAGGAUCUGGUGGAGGUGAGUGGAUCACCUCCAACUAGAAGUCUAACUUCACAAGUUACUUUCCUACUCUUCCCAGUGCUUCUUGUUGGUGAGAUGCCAUUGUCUUGAAAAGAACAUGCACAUCCCAGAAACCAGUUCUUCUCUAAUGUACAAAACCUGAAUAGGUGUGUUCACACAUUACACCAUACACAGGUGUUUGCAUGAAAAAAUGCUCACUUGUGGAUUUGGGAUGCACAACUGUUGUGUAUGCUUGCUGAACAUUACAUGUGAAUAAUGGCAUGAGUGUAUAGCUGCAUUCUUUGAAUACACAAGUACAAGGUUCCAAUGUAAUGUGUGAACACCCCUAAUGUGGUUUUUCAACCCCUCGGAUGGUGAACAGUCAAGAGACGAUUCCCAAACCAAUGAUGAUGUUGGGUGUCAUGUUUUGCCAGGAUGUUGUACCAGUUUGUGCCUGUUUUGAUCCCAGAAGCUCACGUGCUCUAGCAAUUCGAUGCAGAACUUAUAUGCCUGUAAGCCAAAGAAUUCAUUCAGUAGUUAGAUCCAGAUAAAUCAACCAUGCUUUACUCUUGACUGUUCCAUGGGCAAAGCAAAAUUGCUAAUAGUGCCCACCUUUUAUACUAUCCAACGGGCACAAAGCCCACUGAUUUGAUCUCCUGCAGAAACCCCAACAAAAAUGGGAGGCAGAAUUGCACCUCCAGCUCAGCUAAUGUGGUUGUGGCCAGUAUAAGCAUUGGCUAUAGCUUGAUGGUAGUUGGGAUGGGAGAGAUUUGACUCAGUUUUCAUCCAAAAGAGGAAAGGAGGGAGAUCAGGGCAGGGUAUAAAGCUGAAAGCAUGCAAGUAUGCCUAGAUCAAGUCUCUAGAACCUUCAGGACGCUCUGCAAUGACAUUGCUGCCAAUAUUGCUUUGGACACAAUCUACCAUGGGUUUCUUUGGCAUUAAUGCCACUGAAAUGAGCAGCAUUUACUGGUGGAUUUCCCCCAGAGAAUCAGGAUCCCCCUAAAGAUUACUGGUGUAGGCAGGAACCUUUUAGGCAAAAAUGCAUGCCAAAUCACACACAGGAGAGCCGUGCACUAAAAAUGCAGAUGAGAAAGAAAGAGAAACUGAAGUUGACUGUUUUGUCCAGAUCUAGUGCAGACACCUGUAGAUUGCACUGUAAAUAUGGACACAAAAAAUGGAAAAAGGGGAGGGCCCCUCCCCAGAUAAGAUUAACAUAAAUCCAUUUGCAUACAAGGUCUUCCAAUAGAAAUGCAUUGCUUCUCAGACAUGCGCAAAUGCGUUAAAAGCUUGAUUUUAGUUCAAUAAAAAAAGAUCAAAAUACAAGUCAUCAUGACUGUACACAGAAGCUGGUGCUUGCCAAAUUGCAAAUGCAAGUUGCACAGUGCGAUGAGGAAAUGAAACACGAAGAGCUGUCAGUCAGCUCCCCCAUUUUGUACUUUCUUGCGAGUUAUACAUUCAGACGCCAACGUAUCAUACCGUAUGUGAUUACAAUUUAUACUCUUAAAUGCACAGAGCAUUGACAUCAGGUCAUCUCAUUGUGGCUCUAAACGGGUCUUCCAGGAUGUGUUUUGCUGAAUUUACACAUUUAUUAAUAAGAUGGCUUCCUCCAACAUGCAUAAUAGGACCCACUGGGGUUGCCGUGGUUUAAGCUUUCUUACAAUACCUACUGCACUGAGGGCUUAUCUCAGUUAGCUUCCCCCCACUCUUUCCAUUUUAAAGCUCCAUGCCCAAACACUCUUUCCCUGCAAAGACUUAUCCAAGUGUGCUUUCCCUAUGAAGACAUGCUCUUUAGCGCUCAAUUGGAGCAAACAGCAAUUUGGGUUUUCCACCCAGUGCUGUUUGCUCCGAUUGAAAUUUAAAGAGCAGGUUUUCAUGGGGAAAACUCCAGAGCGAAUAAAGGGUGCUCACUCAUGGAGCUUGAAAGCAUGGACCAUGCCUGGAAAGUGCAGAUGAGAAUUAAGUGUGGCUAUGUCCCAACUGUGAUGUAUACAUACAGUGUUGGAUGCAGUUAUGAUGCAUUGUAUUUUCAAGAGUGAUUGCAUUUUUGUUUUGUUUUACAACAGGACAUUAAUAGCUGUCAGCUUUGUGUAUGGAUAUGGGGCUUUUGUGGGGGGAGGUUAUACAGCGGCAGCUUCUGUAAAUCUUUUUCUCCCCAUGAGCGUUCCUGCAUGAGAUCCAACUUUUCAAGCACCUGUUUGCCUCAUUCACAUCACAAUUCCUCCCACCCCAUGGAGCUGUAACUUUUAAAACAGAGCUUAGCCUUCACUGUCCUUCUUUCAUGGUGCAGAUCUGAAGGUGGAUUAAUCACCAUACCCAAAGCUUUUCCAGACUUUCAUUGGCAGGGCAGAAGUGAGGUCAGAGAAGUGCUUUUGUGCUCCUGUGGUUUUUCUCUGCACCCCUCAUUUUUCCUCCUGUGGGAAAGAUUUAGGCCAACUCCUCGGCUGCCCUAUACCCCCAGUCUGGGUUCCACCCCGGGGUGUUGAGAAGGUUGUGGAUCUCUCAGAUCUGUGCUUUUUCCUGAUUCUCCCCUGAACAUCCUGAACAUCUCCCCUGAACAUCAAAUCACCUCAGAUUUGGUCUCCUUGGCCCCAACAUCUUAUGGCCACAGUAGCAAGGAGAAGGGCUCUGACACGGUUUAUCCUAGGCCCCUUUAGAUUCCCUCCCUGUGGUGAUAGGAUUGCAGGCAUGGGUGUCACCCCCCCCCAUAUAUAUAUUAAAAAUCUUAAUGUAUGAAGAGGCCCUUAAUGGAUCUCUGUUGAGCAGAGCAAGUUGAUAUGGAGGUUCUGAACGCAGCUGUCCAUUUGUGAUGGGGGUUCACCAAUGGAAGUCAAAACCUAGCACUGACUUUGUCAAGUAACUGAACCUGUAUUGUGUGAACGCACCAUCAGAAAUGGAGCACUGGGAUGUUCAUCGAGAACACUCGAGGUUUUGAAUCAUUGAAAAACCAAGCUCAACAAUUUUAAGACAUGCACAUACACACUCAAGAGUCACCAAAUACACAAGUUACGUCCGUACACACUCUUAGAGACUUCUUUAAAACUGGUAGUUGGAUAUGAUGUCCUGAUAACACAGUGGGAUGCAAGUAAUUUGUGAUCCAGGAAUCUUUUUUCCCCAUUUGUUUGUUUGUUUCUCUGUUGACCUGUUCUGUCUAAACAGUCGUUUACCCCUCCAGCAUAUUUAAAUCCAAAUGCAUGACUUAAGUGCUAAUACUGUAUAAAUAAUAUUUUUCAGACAUAUCUACAAAAAAACAAAACAAAAACCCACAAAUGUUUGCUUCAAACUUUUGAUGAUAGAAAAGGGGGGUGGGGAGAGUAUAUAAUGAACAUGGUUGUCUUCAAGGUGUAUUGUAUUUUUCAUUUUUGUUAAAUAUGUAGGAGGGGGAAAAGAAAGAGAGAAAGAGAGAGAGAGAAAGAGAGAGAGAGAGAAAUGGAAGAUAGGAAGAGAGCGGGGAAGACGUGAAUGUUUGCGUAUAUUGAAAUGUAUAUACCUGUGAGAGAAAACACAUGUGCCAAGUAUAACAAGAUGUACAAAAUGUAAAUACAUGAAAAUUUCAUUUUUCUAAUAAAGAUAAUUUCUGCCAAUUGA
Molecule: long non-coding RNA, 6250 nt
Organism: Podarcis raffonei (Aeolian wall lizard)
Lineage: Eukaryota; Metazoa; Chordata; Lepidosauria; Squamata; Lacertidae
Exons: 2
Source: RefSeq, a predicted model, not a curated record